RNAcentral lists this ribosomal RNA (301 nucleotides) under Buthacus amitaii. RNAcentral describes it as "partial large subunit ribosomal RNA". It matches the Rfam family "Eukaryotic large subunit ribosomal RNA", at positions 714 to 987 of the family's 3401-position model. The record is from RNAcentral. Lineage: Eukaryota; Metazoa; Arthropoda; Arachnida; Scorpiones; Buthidae.
GCGCAAUGAAAGUGAAGGAUGCCCGUGCCGGCAUCUGCGUUGGGAUCCCGGGACCCCGGUCCCGGGCGCACCAACGGCCCGUCCCACCUGCCUCGUCAGCGGGACGGAGCGAGAGCGUACACGUUGGGACCCGAAAGAUGGUGAACUAUGCCUGGGCAGGACGAGGCCAGAGGAAACUCUGGUGGAGGUCCGCAGCGAUUCUGACGUGCAAAUCGAUCGUCAGACCUUGGUAUAGGGGCGAUAGACUAAUCGAACCGUCUAGUAGCUGGUUCCCUCCGAAGUUUCCCUCAGAUAGCUGGUG